AUUAAACUGAAGAGUUUGAUCAUGGCUCAGAUUGAACGCUGGCGGUAUGCUUAACACAUGCAAGUCGAACGGAAACGAUGGAAGCUUGCUUCCAGGCGUCGAGUGGCGGACGGGUGAGUAACGCGUAGGAAUCUACCCAGUAGCGGGGGACAACCCGGGGAAACCCAGGCUAAUACCGCAUAAUCCCUACGGGGCAAAGGGGGCCUCUUCUUGAAAGCUCUCACUAUUGGAUGAGCCUGCGUGAGAUUAGCUAGUUGGUAGGGUAAAGGCCUACCAAGGCGACGAUCUCUAGCUGGUCUGAGAGGACGAUCAGCCACACUGGGACUGAGACACGGCCCAGACUCCUACGGGAGGCAGCAGUGGGGAAUAUUGGACAAUGGGGGCAACCCUGAUCCAGCAAUACCGCGUGUGU
This 412-nucleotide ribosomal RNA is filed under the name Gammaproteobacteria bacterium. RNAcentral describes it as "bacterial SSU rRNA". It matches the Rfam family "Bacterial small subunit ribosomal RNA", at positions 1 to 406 of the family's 1533-position model. Lineage: Bacteria; Pseudomonadati; Pseudomonadota; Gammaproteobacteria. The record is from RNAcentral.